AUCCAGAUGACGAGUCCCAAAUAGGACCAAAUAUACAUCCUGGAU
Molecule: non-coding RNA, 45 nt
Filed under: Trichobilharzia regenti
Lineage: Eukaryota; Metazoa; Platyhelminthes; Trematoda; Strigeidida; Schistosomatidae
Source: RNAcentral